GGAGAGACAAUUCUCACCAAUUUUCCCCCAAAAUAAACCCUUAAUCACAUUAAUGAAUAUUUGGCUAUAAAGUCAUUUAUAUAGUCACUUCUUUAAGUGACCUAAACAACCAAAAAACCCUAAUUCAUCUUCAUGGCCGGCCAUAUAGAGAGAUUUGGGCUUUUGGGCCUUAAUGAAUCUUUAUUCAUUAAUUGUCAUACAACUUAAGUUAAUGGGCUUGACGUUCGAAGCCCAUUGGGCCUUAAGGUCCAAAACUAUCC
This 260-nucleotide long non-coding RNA is filed under the name Malus domestica (apple). RNAcentral's name for it is "long non-coding RNA (MDOM_LNC013958)". The record is from RNAcentral. Lineage: Eukaryota; Viridiplantae; Streptophyta; Magnoliopsida; Rosales; Rosaceae.